AUGGAUUAGUUUCUUACUUGUUCCUUAGUUCUUUGCUGUAGGGCUGGACAAAACAUUAUCAACCGGUGAUAACCGCCCGAUCCGUUUCAUUUAUUUGGCAUUCGGUCGGAUUUGAACGGUUUUCGGGUCUAGUCGGAUGGUUAAUUAGGAUAUAAUUGGGUUGGACCGGUUCGGUUCGGGUGACUAUUUUGGGUCCGUCGGAAACCGAACCCGACCAAAUUUAAAUGAUAUUUUAUAUUAAUUAUUUAUUAUUUAUUAUUUAUAUCACCCAUUAGUAUCUUUCUCUCACUCUUAAACUUACUCACAUAGAAAACCCUAGAUCAUUCUCUCUCAUUUCCUCUUCUUUCCUUAGUCUCAGCCGCCGUCAUCGUUACCCCCUCCUCUCUCUUUGGUUUCACUCAUAUUCAUCUUCCUCUCUCACCGUCGCCUCACCACCCAUUCAUCCUUACCACCUUCUCACUGCAUGUAGCCUUCAUGUAUUGCUUUACAAUCACUUUGAUGAGUUGAUUUGAUGGAACCAAAGGUGGAUCUACGACUUUGAGGACAUGAACUUCUACGAAAGAUCUAGUGUUUGGAGAAGAUCUGGUGUUUCUGAGGAUAUUCAGAGUCAACUCAAUUCAAGGUGGACAACGAUGAGAAACAACACAAGAACCCUCAUAAGGUAAAUAGAUUUUAGGAGUUUUGGCAUAUUCCAGGCCCUGCAUUCAUCGCAGCAACUUUUAACGGUUGUUUUCUAGCAUUUAUCUUGUGGAGAUCUACGAUUUCAAUUGCUUUUCAUGGAGCUCUCGGCUGUCACUCAACGACUUAUUGGAAGAUAAAAAGACACUUCAUUAGAGAUGGAUUUAUUUACAAAACAAGCAUUAGAGUUGGAUCUUGCUGUGGAUUACUGUCAAAGAAAAAUAUAAAGAAUCUGUGGAGAAAAGACAUAUUCAUGUCUUUAUUUAUAAAAUUAAUUGUCACAACUCACAAUUGAAGGACUGAGCAACAGUUGAUAUUUACUAUAUAUUUUCUAAUGUUUUAAUUUUAAUAAUAGAAGAAGAGGGAAGAUGUAUGUGGCAAAGAAGGUGCGAUAAUGUUAUUAGAGAUUUUAGAAGAUCGGGACUGAAAUUAUAUGUGUAAGGAUGAGAAAAUUUUUCGUAAUCAUAAUGCUAAUGUAUAAUAAGUUUAAGUUUGGGUUGGAUGUGAGUUAGUAAAAUUUAGGUUGUAACAUAGUGCGGUUUGAUUCGGUUUACAAAAUACAAACCGCAAACCGAACCGAACCGUGCGGUUUUGUAAAAACUAACCCAAACUAAUCCGAACCAAAUGCGGUUUUUUGCGGUUUCUAUUGGGUUGGUUUGGUUUUGAUCACCCCUACCUGCCAUAUAGUUUUAUUUUGUUUUUAUUUUUUGUUAAUAUAGGUUAAACAUGUUAAAAAUUUGUUGGAGGUAGGAAUUGA
Vicia villosa (hairy vetch) is the source of this 1435-nucleotide long non-coding RNA. RefSeq lists it as uncharacterized. The record is from RefSeq and is a predicted model, not a curated record. The transcript has 6 exons. NCBI's taxonomy places the organism in Eukaryota, Viridiplantae, Streptophyta, Magnoliopsida, Fabales, Fabaceae.